UCCCCUCUACAAAAUUCUAGCUUCUUGUCAUAAUCCAUCUACAAUCAACUACAAGUAUGUCUAGCAAUUUGUUCUAUGGCUUACAAUGCUUCCAUGCAGUAUACAAGGCAUAUACAUUUAAAAAUAAUGAUAUUAAAAUUAACCACAUUCUUGAGGCACAUCCACUGUACUUGGCCUAAAUGAGAGUAAUUAGAUUAUGUCAUUAGAUGUAUCAUGUGAUGAGAAAUCCACAUUCUCAUCCCCUCCCUUCUCGCUCCCUCUUCAUUCAUCUUGUAGUUAUAAGCCACAUUAGUCUCUUAGCUAAAGAAACUUGCUCUUGGCUUUAGCAGGUUGCCAACUUAGCUUAGCUUAGUUCAUCUUAAUUUAUAUUCUUAUAUACAUAACACUUCCACCU
RNAcentral lists this long non-coding RNA (394 nucleotides) under Physcomitrium patens. RNAcentral describes it as "long non-coding RNA (PPAT_LNC011668)". Lineage: Eukaryota; Viridiplantae; Streptophyta; Bryopsida; Funariales; Funariaceae. The record is from RNAcentral.